Molecule: unclassified non-coding RNA, 678 nt
Filed under: Aphidius gifuensis
Lineage: Eukaryota; Metazoa; Arthropoda; Insecta; Hymenoptera; Braconidae
Description: aTP synthase subunit a
Source: RNAcentral
AUAUUAAAUUUGUUUUCAAUUUUUGAUCCUUCAACAAAAAUUUUUAGAUUAAAUUGAAUUUCUUCUUUAAUUGGUUUAUUUAUCAUUCCUCAAAUAUAUUGAUUGAUAAGAUCACGAAUUUUAUUUUUAAUAAUUAAUUUUAUAUUGAUUUUAUGAAUAGAAUUUAAAAUUAUUUUAAAAAAUAAGUUUAAUAUAAAUAAUUUAUUAUUUUAUAUUUCUUUAUUUUUAUUUAUUAUAAUAAAUAAUUUUAUAGGGUUGUUCCCUUAUAUUUUUACAAGAUCAAGACAUUUAAUUUAUUCUUUAGGAUUAUCUUUACCUAUAUGAUUAGGAUUAAUAAUAUUUGGUUGAAUUAAAAAUACUAAUUUUAUAUUUGUUCAUUUAGUUCCUCAGGGUACUCCUUUUAUUUUAAUAUUUUUUAUAGUAUUAAUUGAAUCAUUAAGAAAUAUUAUUCGUCCUUUUACAUUAUCAAUUCGAUUAACUGCUAAUAUAAUUGCUGGCCAUUUAUUAUUAACUUUGUUAAGAAGAUUUAUUCCUAAUUUUUUUUUAUUUUAUUUAAUUGUAUUAAUUUUACAAUUAAUAUUAUUAAUUUUAGAGAUUUCAGUUUCUUUAAUUCAAUCUUAUGUAUUUGUAAUUUUAAUAAUUUUAUAUUUAAAAGAAACAAAUUAUGAUAAAAUUUAA